This 253-nucleotide ribosomal RNA is filed under the name uncultured bacterium. RNAcentral's name for it is "partial 16S ribosomal RNA". It matches the Rfam family "Bacterial small subunit ribosomal RNA", at positions 524 to 776 of the family's 1533-position model. The record is from RNAcentral.
UACGAGGGGGGCGAGCGUUGUCCGGAUUUAUUGGGCGUAAAGAGCUCGUAGGCGGUCUGUCGCGUCGGAUGUGAAAACCCAGGGCUCAACCCUGGGCCUGCAUUCGAUACGGGCAGACUAGAGUAUGGCAGGGGAGACUGGAAUUCCUGGUGUAGCGGUGAAAUGCGCAGAUAUCAGGAGGAACACCGGUGGUGUAGACAGCUUACUGGACCACUUCUGACGCUGAGACACGAAAGCGUGGGUAGCAAACAGG